RNAcentral lists this ribosomal RNA (319 nucleotides) under uncultured bacterium. RNAcentral's name for it is "bacterial SSU rRNA". It matches the Rfam family "Bacterial small subunit ribosomal RNA", at positions 28 to 348 of the family's 1533-position model. The record is from RNAcentral.
GACGAACGCUGGCGGCGUGCUUAACACAUGCAAGUCGAGCGGUAAGGCCCUUUCGGGGUACGACGAGCGGCGAACGGGUGAGUAACACGUGGGUGACCUGCCCUCAGCUCUGGGAUAAGCCUGGGAAACCGGGUCUAAUACUGGAUAUGACUCCAUGACGCAUGUUGUGGGGUGGAAAGCCUUGUGCGGCUGAGGAUGGCCCGCGGCCUAUCAGCUUGUUGGUGGGGUGAUGGCCUACCAAGGCGACGACGGGUAGCCGGCCUCGAGAGGGCGACCGGCCACACUGGGACUGAGACACGGCCCAGACUCCUACGGGAGG